Molecule: non-coding RNA, 30 nt
Filed under: Rattus norvegicus (Norway rat)
Lineage: Eukaryota; Metazoa; Chordata; Mammalia; Rodentia; Muridae
Source: RNAcentral
UGCAAACCUUACGAAUUGCUAAGGGCGAUC